This 301-nucleotide ribosomal RNA is filed under the name uncultured bacterium. RNAcentral describes it as "partial 16S ribosomal RNA". It matches the Rfam family "Bacterial small subunit ribosomal RNA", at positions 509 to 807 of the family's 1533-position model. The record is from RNAcentral.
CAGCAGCCGCGGGAAUACGUAGGGUGCAAGCGUUAAUCGGAAUUACUGGGCGUAAAGCGUGCGCAGGCGGUUUUGUAAGACAGAGGUGAAAUCCCCGGGCUCAACCUGGGAACUGCCUUUGUGACUGCAAGGCUAGAGUACGGCAGAGGGGGAUGGAAUUCCGCGUGUAGCAGUGAAAUGCGUAGAUAUGCGGAGGAACACCGAUGGCGAAGGCAAUCCCCUGGGUCUGUACUGACGCUCAUGCACGAAAGCGUGGGGAGCAAACAGGAUUAGAUACCCGCGUAGUCCCUGUCUCUUAUAC